GGGGCCUUCUUCCCAUUUCUGUCCUCAGAGAAUAAGCUCAAGGGUAGGAUGGCUCAGAUGAGAAAUGGCAAUGGCACGAUAAAAUGGAAGUGCAGUGAGAAAGUGGUGUUUUCAUUCUGAAGUUCUAUAUACUUUCAAGAAUAAAAUGCACUGGACUUUUUGUACUGUAUCUUUUGUGCGCAUAACUGAAAAGAGAACCUAUGAGAGGAAACAAUCCAGUAACAAGACAGAAAGAAAAUAUACAAGAGGAAAAGUAAGACACAGUUGAAGAGUAGAGGGUGAAAAGAAACGAUUGUAAGAACUGUAGCAAAAACUAGGAAAAACUGUCUGUCUAGCUACUCUAGCACCACCUGACUGCCUUCCGAGAAAGCAUCCAAGAAGGAAACGGUUUGCUUUGUCAUCUUAUUCUAAAUUUAAAAUUAGAAAUCUUUGUACAGUAUAGUCUAUAGAGUAACUUGGAACCUUUCCUUUCCUUAAAAAAUUUCUGGCAAAUCAUUAAAAACAAACCUCUGGACUAAAAAUAACACAAAAUCCUCUAAGCCAUGUUUUACAAUAUAAAUGUUGCUUGAUAAGAGGUUCUUUAAGUGCCUGCCUGUCCCCUCCACUGCUUUCACACACAAGGAACAAAAGAAUCUCUAGGAAUAAAAAAAUGUACAUUUACUUCUGCUCUUCCUGCCCCUGAAUCCUCAUGGCUUUCAUUUCUCCAUGAAUCCCACCAUACACAAGGCUGGGCUAGAUUUCUGGAUUUCCUUACAGGAUAUGGAAUAUGGCCAUAUACCUUAGGCACCCACAUCAAACCAGAAGGCGGCACAUACUCUACAGUUUGCAAUCCAAUUCCUCAUUCUCACCCAUCCUCGUUGCUCAUCAUUUAUGUUAAGAAGGGAAGAUUUGGUUGGGGGUGGGGUGUUUUGGGAAGAAAGAUUAGAAUAAAAUAAGAACCAACAGCAACUAGUGGGGAGGGGAAGAAAAUAUAAUCUAGAAAAUAUAUAAACAAUGAAAGAAAUUAUGCAAGCAGCUGUAACUAAGACCGAAAAUUUCCACUGACUAUAAGAAAACCUGCCAAUAAGAUACUCAGGGCAGAAAGUGGAUGGAGUCUCUGGUCAACACAGCUCUUAAAACCUAAGAUAGCUUCCCAGCCAGCCUUCCUCCCGGUUCCUUGUCCUUACCCCUACCUUCUUCCAGUACUUUGAAAACAGGUAUCAACAUUGAUGUUUGAGGCCUGGCGCAGUGGCUCACUCUUGUAAUCCCAGUACUUUGGGAGGCUGAAGCGGGCGGAUCACUUGAGGUCAGGAGUUCAAGACCAGCCCGACCAACAUGGCGAAACCCUGUUUCUACUAAUAAAACAAAAAUUAGUCGGGCGUGGUGGAGCAUGCCUGUAGUCCCAACUACUCGGGAGGCUGAGGCAAGAGAACUGCUUGAACCCGAGAAGCGGAAGUUGCAGUGAGCCGAGAUCAUGCCACUGCACUCCAGUCUGGGCGACAGAGUGAGACUGUCUCAAACAAACAAACAAAAAGAACAAUGUUUGAGGCAGGGCAUGGUGGCAGGAGCCUAUAGUCUCAGCUACUGGGGAGGCUAAAGCAGGAGGAUCACUUGAGCUCAAGAGCCUGACAGCAACCUGGGUUAACAGAGCAAGACCCUGAAAAGCCUUCUAUGUAGUAACCAGACAAGGUACAGAUCUCCAUACUGGGCACCAUCAUAUAGAUGGCUAUUGCAUCACACAGACAACCUUCAUUAAAGGAAGACACCAAGACAGGAGCUGCUCAGGGGCCACUGGGCACUGCGGUUAGAAAGCCAGGACAAGACAGGAAAGUCAGUCUGCUUGUCAAGAAAAAAAUGAUGGAUCUGGUGAGGUAUAAUUCCUGCUAAAAAAAAGUUUGCCCUGGCUGGGCACAGUGGCUCACACCUGUAAUCCCAGCCCUUUAGGAGGCUGAGGCGGGUGGAUCACUUGAGGUCAGGAGUUCGAGACCAGCCUGGCCAACAUGGUGAAACCCCACCUCUACUAAAAAUACAAAAAUUAGCUGGGCGUGGUGGUAUGCACCUGUAAUCCCAGCUACUAGGGAGGCUGAGGCAGGAGACUCGCUUGAACCUGGGAGGCAGAGGUUGCAGUGAUCCAAGAUGGCGCCACUGCACUCCAGCCUGGGCGACAGAGUGAGACUCUGUCUCAAACAAAACAAAAAAAACCCAACAUAAUUAGAAACAAACCUACUGUAUACUAACCAGUCCUGAAAGGCAAAUGGUAUCUUUAUGUUCAACAGAUGUUUACCAGGGUCUUUAAAGAGCUAGAGCUCCUAACAACAACUCCACAGAAAGGAACAACAGAAACUAUUAAGAAAUAGUUCAUCCACCUAAGUUAUGAUUAAAUAAAGGAUUUAGGUCGGUCGCGGUGGCUCACACCUGGAAUCCCAGCACUUUAAGAGGCUGAGGUGGGUGGAUCACCUGAGGGUCAGGAGUUCGAGACCAAGCUGGCCAUCAUGGUGCAACCUGUCUUUACUAAAAAUACAAAAAAAAAUUAGCAGGGUGUGGUGGCAGGUGCCUGUAAUCCCAGCUACUAGGGAGGCUGAGGCAGGAGAACUGCUUGAACCCCGGAGGCAGAGGUUACAGUGAGCUGAGAUGGCGCCACUGCGCUCCAGCCUGGGUGAUGGAGUGAGACUCUGUCUCAAAAACAAACAAAAAAACACAAAAACAAUAGGGAAGAAAAGGAUUUAGUUAAAAUUUAGUAUGAAAACAAAACAACAGGUUGAAAGCCAUUCCCAGAGUUACACUUGAGUGCUGAAAGAAACCCAGAGCUUUUCAGUCCAACAAUUCGGCCCCACCUGCACGGUCUUCCUCAGCAUACCUCAGGUACAUUUCCUGACUGGCUCCCUGAUCUUCAAUUGAGAACGUUGUUGCAUCCCGGUUUAGAUGGUGGUAAGAGCAGAUCACUCUUCAUUGGCGACACAUCUGUCCUACUAGAGACUACAACCUCAGAGUUUUCUGCUGUGAAAUUCUUAUCAGAAGCCUGACUAUGGGCAGACAGAACAUGCAAUAUUCUGGGUACUCUAAAUUUACUCCUGAUCAUCAAAAGCUACAUAUUCGCAGAACUGCUUUCAAUGACUUGCGCUUUUGAAUUAUGUCACUGCUGGCCUAGAGUGGUGGAAGGAAACUUGCCAUUGUAAUGACUGAGAGAUUGUGACUUAACAGGUCCGGGGUGGGGCUGGACAUCUGGAUUUUUAAUAAGCUUGUCACAGAUGUGUCCCAAGGUUGAAAAUGACUGCCCUGUUUUGCAUAACGUGGAGGGUUGUUGAGACUAUUGUCAUGGUGUAUUUACUGUGUCCCCCUCUUAAAGAAGAGCCACAGGGGCAAUUUCCCUUAGGUCUCAGUCCUGAGCUGAUCUUACCAACACCGUGAAACUGACUGAUGGUGUUUAGAGGCAAACCUACCGCUCCUUUAAAACAUUUUUUUAUUCAUAAUCGACACACAGUAAUUAUUCCUACUGAUGGGGUGCGGUGUGCAGCAUGGAUGGACAUAUACAUUGCAUAGUGAUCAAGUCAGAGUGUUUAACAUGUCCUCGACCUCAAACGUAUUGUCUCUUGGUGCUCUGGAGGUCAAAAGAAAUGAGACUGCUGGGCUAAGAUCAAGGUGUCAGCAGGGCUGUAUUCCUUCCCAAGGCUCCAGGGGAGAAUCUGUUCACUUGCCUUUCCCAGCUUCUAGAGGUUGCCUACAUUCCUUGGCUUGCGGACCCUUCCUCCAUCUCCAGAAUCAGUAACGAAAGAUCCAAAGCCAUAUCCUGGCUGAGUUGGCUGAGUUGAGCAGGACACUGACAAGGAGGCUGCUGAGCCUGCAACUCGACUGUUCUGUUUGAGGAGCUCUGUGCUUUAUCAUAGAAAUGGAUCUGAGGUGGGGUGUUGCUUUGUCUUGUGAUCGCAGCUCACGGCAGCCUUGGACUCGUGGGCACGAGCAAUCCUCCCACUUCAGCCUCCCAAGUAGCUGGGACCACAGGUACAUGCCACUGCACCUGGCCUAGUAUUCUCUAUCAAAUACUUAUUCAACAGUUAAAAUCUAUAUAGACCUUUGAGAUAGGAUAAUAAAAUAUUAUAGCUUGUAAUAAUUUUUUCCAUACCUG
Non-coding RNA from Homo sapiens (human), 4102 nucleotides. NCBI's taxonomy places the organism in Eukaryota, Metazoa, Chordata, Mammalia, Primates, Hominidae. The record is from RefSeq and is a predicted model, not a curated record.